RNAcentral lists this ribosomal RNA (468 nucleotides) under uncultured bacterium. Its description in RNAcentral is "partial 16S ribosomal RNA". It matches the Rfam family "Bacterial small subunit ribosomal RNA", at positions 28 to 507 of the family's 1533-position model. The record is from RNAcentral.
GACGAACGCUGGCGGCGUGCUUAACACAUGCAAGUCGAACGGAAAGGCCCUGCUUUUGUGGGGUGCUCGAGUGGCGAACGGGUGAGUAACACGUGAGUAACCUGCCCUUGACUUUGGGAUAACUUCAGGAAACUGGGGCUAAUACCGGAUAGGAGCUCCUGCUGCAUGGGGGGGGUUGGAAAGUUUCGGCGGUUGGGGAUGGACUCGCGGCUUAUCAGCUUGUUGGUGGGGUAGUGGCUUACCAAGGCUUUGACGGGUAGCCGGCCUGAGAGGGUGACCGGCCACAUUGGGACUGAGAUACGGCCCAGACUCCUACGGGAGGCAGAAGUGGGGAAUAUUGCACAAUGGGCGGAAGCCUGAUGCAGCAACGCCGCGUGCGGGAUGACGGCCUUCGGGUUGUAAACCGCUGUCGCCUGUGACGAAGCGUGAGUGACGGUAAUGGGUAAAGAAGCACCGGCUAACUACGUG